AGGGUCAGGUAAGGUGGGUUAAACACUAAUUGACCCCCACUAAUUGAGGGCCUACUGUGUGCCAGACACUGUGC
Molecule: microRNA precursor, 74 nt
Filed under: Notamacropus eugenii (tammar wallaby)
Lineage: Eukaryota; Metazoa; Chordata; Mammalia; Diprotodontia; Macropodidae
Description: miRNA (ENSMEUG00000017649.1)
Source: RNAcentral